UUUUAAAAGAGUUUAUGGCCGGGCGUCGUGGCCCACGCCUGGAAUCCCAGCACUUUGGGAGGCCAAGGCUGGUGGAUCGCCUGAGGUCAGGAGUUCAAGACCAGCCUGGACAACAUGACGAAACCCUGUCUCUACUAAAAAUACAAA
This is a long non-coding RNA of Sapajus apella (tufted capuchin), 147 nucleotides long. RefSeq lists it as uncharacterized. The transcript has 3 exons. Lineage: Eukaryota; Metazoa; Chordata; Mammalia; Primates; Cebidae. The record is from RefSeq and is a predicted model, not a curated record.